CCCUUAGAUGUUCUGGGCCGCACGCGCGCUACACUGAUGCAUUCAACGAGUUUUUCCUGGUCCGAGAGGAAUGGGUAACCUUUUGAAAGUGCAUCGUGCUAGGGAUAGACUAUUGCAAUUAUUGGUCUUCAACGAGGAAUUCCUAGUAGACGUAGUUCAUCAGACUGCAUCGAUUACGUCCCUGCCCUUUGUACACACCGCCCGUCGCUCCUACCGAUUGAAUGGUCCGGUGAAAUCUUCGGAUUGCUGGAUAGGACUUCAUUGACCUAUCUGCGAGAAGUUGCUUGAACCUUAUCAUUUAGAGGAAGGAGAAGUCGUANCA
RNAcentral lists this ribosomal RNA (322 nucleotides) under uncultured eukaryote. Its description in RNAcentral is "partial 18S ribosomal RNA". It matches the Rfam family "Eukaryotic small subunit ribosomal RNA", at positions 1470 to 1796 of the family's 1831-position model. The record is from RNAcentral.